GGGCCUGUAGCUCAUUUGGCUAGAGCACUUCGCUGGCAGCGAAGGGGUGAGGGGUUCGAAUCCCCUCAGGUCCA
Molecule: transfer RNA, 74 nt
Filed under: Candidatus Dojkabacteria bacterium
Lineage: Bacteria
Also listed under: 1 other name
Description: tRNA-Ala
Rfam family: tRNA
About the family: Transfer RNA (tRNA) molecules are approximately 80 nucleotides in length. Their secondary structure includes four short double-helical elements and three loops (D, anti-codon, and T loops).
Source: RNAcentral